Molecule: long non-coding RNA, 104 nt
Organism: Dioscorea cayenensis subsp. rotundata (Guinea yam)
Lineage: Eukaryota; Viridiplantae; Streptophyta; Magnoliopsida; Dioscoreales; Dioscoreaceae
Exons: 2
Source: RefSeq, a predicted model, not a curated record
AAUGAAUCUAAUAGCACUAGACCCCCUUGGUUUAUUACUCCUGACAGUGUAGUUAUAGAUUACGAAGUUAAAAAAGCAAUACAUGAUUUGGUCCAAGGCCACUA